CUGUGGUUUCUGUGUCUUCAGGAAGACUUGCAGGGGAUUCCGAUGCAAGUUGGAGUUUGAGAAACACUGGAGUUUAUUUGAAGUAUUAAAACCGCGCCUGGUACACAAUGCCAAAACAACUUUGCAUCCUAAGGUAAAUUCUACCUGGUCAUUGUCUCACGCCGCUGGAUUUGAUUUCCUUGUUUAUGUUCAUUGGGCAAAUGUGAUGACUUUGGCCUCAAUGAGCUUGGACGUGGACUCUUUUCCAAAGCCUCUAGUUAGGAGCCUGGUCCAGCGAAUGCCUUGAUUUGAGCUGUGUAAUACACUGAGCCAGAGAGCCCUGUUGAGGCUGCCUGGACCUCUGAGCUACGAGAAUGGCCUGGCUGUGGGACAUCUGAAUCUGUAACACCUGAUCAGCACAUGCCCAACUUGCUGUGAGUGCUCAAAGGGAAGAGGAGGGACCCUUGGAGCGCAGACCCUGCAAUGGGAGUUGGCAUCUCAUAACUGAACAGGGCUGAGCCGAGCCACCAGGACAUGGCUGUCCAGACAGCUGCUGGGCAUAAUGCCCAGAACAGGAGCCGCCAUCUUGCCACCAGGAAGGAGAGGCCAAGAGAAUCACAGCAAUGCUGGCUCUGGACCUCAGGAGCUGCUGAACAAAUGCUAACAGCUGCCUGCUCCAGACAUCGUGUUCUAUGAAAAAAUUGCAAACUCUCACUGUUCAUUAUGCUCCCUUAGAGCGGAAAGCCUUCCUGACCAAUACAACUAGGGCACAUUCCUUAUUGUGGACAGGCAAGCAAACGGUAGUGGGGGUGGGUGCAUAAGGAUUUUCCAAGUCUGGUUAAUUCAUCAGAAAGAAGUUGAAGACACUUGUUCUCAAAAGCAAGGGAAGUAUCGAGUCCUGCUGGGGUCAGGUCAGAACAACACAGAAGCAGACUAGGGGAGACCUCACUGGCCAAGGAGGGGGACAAUUUGAGCCUUCGGAAACAAUGUCUACAAAGGGCUAAAUUGAGUUAAGAGUGGAUCAAGGGAAAUAACCAAACACUUAUCUUGCCUUUUUCGGUAUGAACUGUAUUUCAGAGCAACCAAAGAGAUAACAAGGAGUUCGUUAUAGAAGAAUUCCAGCUAAUAAAGACAGAAGGAAUGGUACGGCUAGAAAACGACCAUGCUGGAGCACAUGAUGAACUGAAGAAUUCAGGCAGCCACCGUCCAUAAGUAUUAGGUGAAAGGUUGACAGGGAACUUUGGAUGGGCCAUGCUGAUAACGCCUGAACCCGCGGAUCACUCUUUACAUCUCUAAACGUGGGACAGUCAGACACCACGUACCUCGUGAUGGAACACGUCAGAAAGUACACAGCAUCUGUGAAUCUAAUCCAGCCUGGACGACAUGAGGAGGAAACCGUCAGCCAAGUCCAGAAGGUAGGACAUUACACAGGACAGUGACUCAUUUCUCCCCUUCCUCAAGUAAACGGCAUGAAAACAGGGAGGGGAGUAGAUUACAGAGUAAAAGAGACUUAAGAGUUCUUUCAGUCAAACAUGAUGUUUGGAUCCCAGUUUGAAGGAGACAACUAUAAAAAUAUUGUUGGAGCUACUUAGGAAUAAUUUUAUAUGUUCUGGGUAUUACCUCACAUGAUAAUGGCAUUAUGGUUACGUGGUUUUUUUAAUGU
Molecule: long non-coding RNA, 1642 nt
Organism: Hyaena hyaena (striped hyena)
Lineage: Eukaryota; Metazoa; Chordata; Mammalia; Carnivora; Hyaenidae
Exons: 5
Source: RefSeq, a predicted model, not a curated record